Molecule: long non-coding RNA, 821 nt
Filed under: Androctonus crassicauda
Lineage: Eukaryota; Metazoa; Arthropoda; Arachnida; Scorpiones; Buthidae
Source: RNAcentral
CUUUAACUAUGAAAAUCUGAAUCCUUGAUAGAGUUCAGAUUGGAAGAAUUUGGGACCCAUUCCAGGACUUGGAUCCAAUUAUGGUGAAGCCAAGCAGUAGUGGAUGUGCAAUAUGUGGCUUUGCCAGAUCUUGCUAGAAGAUUGAAUCUCCCUGUGGACAAAGAUGUGCCAUAGAAGGCAGGAAAUGUUCCAAGAUUUCCUGGCAGCAUUGUACAUUGAUAGACCUAUCAUACAGAACCAAAUCACCUACUCAAGAAGAGUCAAAACACCUUCAUACUUGCACAGUACCUGUAAAUUUCAUUUUUUGCUUCACACAGCUUUGGAGGGGUCCUUUAUUUGGUUUGCUGAUGACCUUCUGUCUAAUAUUUUCAUAUAGGACUGGAAAGAGAGACUCAUCAGACUAUAUCUCCUUCCCCAGUCUGCCUCCUUCCAGGAUAAGUAGUUUCUGACCCAUGUCAACCUCUUCUUUCUGAGCUAGUAUCAAUAUAGAUUUUCACUUGAGCCAUAUUCCAACCUUCUAUUAGUGGUUUGUCGAGAUACAGGUCAGCCUAUGUGUUUGGUCCAUAGUUCUGCAGCUUCCAUGAAAGCACCAGGUCAAUGUUUAAUGACAAGACACAAAACUUUAUCUUCUCUGCAGUAAUCUUUAGUGGCCUACUACUGCUGCGUCCAGGCUUGAUGGAACCAGGCUCCUCAUAGUGUUUUAGAAAGGUUCAACUAUAGAUUUGUUUGAGCCCAAUUCUGGAGAAAUCUAUUACAUAGCUGUUCUAUUUUGUCAGCUAUGGAAGAUCUUUUCACAUAUUUACAUUUCUAAUCUCUUUUUU